UGCUCUUUUGAUGCUAUUCUUCAUCCAAAUUAGACACUUUUUGGAAAAAAAAAACAAAAACCUUUUUUGAAGGCGAUUUCUUGCAGAAGAGACAUAUGGCGCCCAAAAUAGUCCAGCAGGCUGUUCCCAUCUGCAGCUUCUUGCUACCCAGGUGGAAAGGGAGACUGCACCCCCUGGCAGAGUUUGGCUCCAGGCCAGCGGUUGGACAUGCUUCACGUGGUGUUCAGAUCCUUUCAGUGGAAUCGGUUCUCCCUCCUAACCCGUGAUGAAGUGCUCCUGUCUGUUCCCCGCACGUCAGUCACAGCACUGCCUUCAGCUCCUUUGUCUUUGCCAAGAAUACUGAGAAACUGUAAGGG
Molecule: long non-coding RNA, 356 nt
Filed under: Bos taurus (domestic cattle)
Lineage: Eukaryota; Metazoa; Chordata; Mammalia; Artiodactyla; Bovidae
Description: long non-coding RNA NONBTAT006821
Source: RNAcentral